Brassica oleracea var. oleracea is the source of this 1727-nucleotide long non-coding RNA. RefSeq lists it as uncharacterized. Lineage: Eukaryota; Viridiplantae; Streptophyta; Magnoliopsida; Brassicales; Brassicaceae. The record is from RefSeq and is a predicted model, not a curated record. The transcript has 9 exons.
ACAUCAUCCCUAUCAAGCCCAUCUCUUAAAGCUAAGAUCGACGACGAAAAUCACUCGACUCUUCGUUUUCCUUAUAGUUUCACUCUUGAUUAUUCUCAAUGGUGUUCUUUACUCAUUUCUUUAUGUCUCCUUCAACCUCCCAUCGUUUCUCCUUCUAUUUAAACACCUUCAUAGAAUUUUACAUUCAACCAAAAUAUAUCUCUUCGCAUCUGCAAAGACCAGCUGUUCGUAUUUCUUAUUGUUUUGAUGAUUUUAAUCCGUGGGGCUGUUUAAUCCAUAUCGGUGUGUUUUCUCAGAUCCCGACAUCGGGUCUGACUCGCUGGCAGCUCGAAUCAUGGUGUGAUCUGUGGUAACAACUAAUGGAAAGACAGAGAAGAUAGCUACAUGUUUGUUUGAUCCUUUUCUUGCACACUUGAAGACAUCAGAAGAUCAACUUUCUAAAGGUUUGUCUGAAUUCUGAGCAAUCCGGGUGUCCUAGAACGUGUUUACAGUUUAAAAACUGAGAGAUCAUGCAGAUUAAGGAAGCAAUUGGCAUCCAAACAACUUUGAAGAGGCAUUAACUGUUGUGAAAAAAAAGACUAUCUAAGAGCAGAAAGUACGAAAGGAAGGCAUUGCUACAGCUCAAAGAGGAGAAAGCCAUUGUCAUUUAUGAGCCUGAUUCACACACGUAGCAAUCAAAUUGUUCUACCGCAUCUCAUGAAAAGGUUCAAGUCAUGAUAGUUUUGGAGACAAGGACUAUGGUGUUGCAGAAAGAACAAGAACAAAGAUAGACGAAUCUUGAUACUUUCAGAGUGAAAUGGAGCGAGAAGAUGAUAUAAGAAAUCAGGAUAAGAUUUAUGGAACAAGGAAGAAGAUGAUCAAUAGACCGGAGCAAAUACAGUGUUCAAGAAAUUGAGAGAAAAAGAUUAGAAGAUCAGGAACAGUCUUACCAAACAUGGUCAUAGUCAUUACCACGAUCGUGAUCAUGAAGAAGAAUAUGACGAGCAAGAACCAAAAUGGCACAGUGAGCCAGUGUAUACACAGGCGGUAUAGCAGGUCAACCUGAGACACCUUGUCCUCCCGGAGAAAUUAAUUUUUUGCAAUGGACAAAAGUUUUUCAGUUUGUAUCUUCGGAUUAUACCAAACCCAUUGAACUGGAGCCAUUACGAGAUCUCUUUCAUGGACACGAGAUGAUGGAUACUUCAGAUUUGAUGAUACGCUACCUUUCAUUGUUCCGUAACCAUGAAGCUCAUAUCCAGGUGUUCGAGUUUGAAAGAAUCUUGAGUAGCCCUAGCUAUCAUGUUCUGCUUCAUCAAUGUCGUAGGGAUGCCUGCUUAAAAUUCAUGUAUAUGUGGAAGAAAAGCAUGAAUCUGGUCAGUUAAUACAGAUCUGUUGUAUUGUCAUUUGUACAGCAAGAAGGUGAAGUUUCAACCCAGAUAAAGGGAAAUAGCUGAUGAUGUUCCAAAGGUAGAGAAUCUAAAGACUGCAGAAAAGAUGGAGAGCUAAGAAAAACAAAAGAGUGAUGUCAAGUUUGAAAUACAAAAGAACCUAAUCGUAAUAUGAAUUAGACUUGAUAGACAAAUCCAAAUGGUGCUUUAUCCACCCAGCUACCCAUAUCUACAUUUUUAUUAUUUAGUUUUCUUGGCUAAAACUUUACAUAUGAUCUCCCUAAUUUGCUUUUAUAUGUUGUUCUUUGUUUGAGGGUUUUCUUCUUGAUUGUUCACUCAAUAAAACCUAUUAAAAAUUUC